CCCAAUGUGAAGUGCCUUAACGUGACCUGCGAUGUGUAACUAAAAUAUCCCGUUGACGUCAGUGCUGUGAUUUGAAUAUAACAUUUACAAGUCUGAUUUGCCUGAAUAGUUCUAAUCUGAAUUUGUGGAGGUGACUCAGUGAAGCCUGAAUAGUUCUAAUCUGAAUUUGUGGAGGUGACUCAGUGAAGCCUGAAUAGUUCUAAUCUGAAUUUGGGAGGUGACUCAGUGAAGCCUGAAUAGUUCUAAUCUGAAUUUGUGGAGGUGACUCAGUGAAGCCUGAAUAGUUCUAAUCUGAAUUUGUGGAGGUGACUCAGUGAAGCCUGAAUAGUUCUAAUCUGAAUUUGUGGAGGUGACUCAGUGAAGCCUGAAUAGUUCUAAUCUGAAUUGAAUAGUUCUAAUCUGAAUUUGUGGAGGUGACUCAGUGAAGCCUGAAUAGUUCUAAUCUGAAUUUGUGGAGGUGACUCAGUGAAGCCUGAAUAGUUCUAAUCUGAAUUUGGGAGGUGACUCAGUGAAGCCUGAAUAGUUCUAAUCUGAAUUUGGGAGGUGACUCAGUGAAGCCUGAAUAGUUCUAAUCUGAAUUUGUGGAGGUGACUCAGUGAAGCCUGAAUAGUUCUAAUCUGAAUUUGUGGAGGUGACUCAGUGAAGCCUGAAUAGUUCUAAUCUGAAUUUGUGGAGGUGACUCAGUGAAGCCUGAAUAGUUCUAAUCUGAAUUGAAUAGUUCUAAUCUGAAUUUGUGGAGGUGACUCAGUGAAGCCUGAAUAGUUCUAAUCUGAAUUUGUGGAGGUGACUCAGUGAAGCCUGAAUAGUUCUAAUCUGAAUUUGUGGAGGUGACUCAGUGAGGCCUGAAUAGUUCUAAUCUGAAUUUGGGAGGUGACUCAGUGAAGCCUGAAUAGUUCUAAUCUGAAUUUGAGAGGUGACUCAGUGAAGCCUGAAUAGUUCUAAUCUGAAUUUGAGAGGUGACUCAGUGAAGCCUGAAUAGUUCUAAUCUGAAUUUGAGAGGUGACUCAGUGAAGCCUGAAUAGUUCUAAUCUGAAUUUGAGAGGUGACUCAGUGAAGCCUGAAUAGUUCUAAUCUGAAUUUGAGAGGUGACUCAGUGAAGCCUGAAUAGCAGGAUAUAACCCUCUUAUUAAAAUGUCCUACACUGGUUAUAUGAUAUUUGCUGUUGGUUCCUGUUGAAGAAAUGUGUAAAUUAGGGCCGGGACAAUGUCAGUACCACCGUACUCAUUAGUAUCGUGGCAAGGAAACAAAACGCCAAGCUGAUUUGAACUUCUUUAGGAAAACAGCCGUAAUGUUGGAAACAAACGUCAUUUAUGUUGUCAUCCGGAGUCACGUUGAUUUAUUUUCCAAGCUACAGCACAUUGUAUUUCAUAUACAGCAGGUUCUUAAAGGACCAAACAGUUUGGUCUGCUUCGUGUUAGAAGUUUUUGACAUGGAAAAAAUAUUGGGAUACUGGGUAUCGUUCCGUGUAAAAACCCUCCUGCUAAAUUAGUUAUAUGAUAUUAACCCUUUUGUUGUUUGUUUGUAUGGUGUAACCCUGCCUUUAAAAUGCCUCAUUCAUUAAUUAUUUAUUUUUCUCUUAAAGGUGCGGUGUGUAGCCCUGCCUUUAACCCUCUAGGCAGGGUUAACCCUGCCACUGUAACCCUACCUUUAAAAUGCCUCAUUCAUUAAUUAUUUAUUUUUCUCUUAAAGGAGCGGUGUGUAGCCCUGCCUUUAACCCUCUAGGCAGGGUUAACCCUGCCACUGUAACCCUACCUUUAAAAUGCCUCAUAAAUAAAUAAUUUUUCUCUUAAAGGUGCGGUGUGUCCCACUGUAACCCUACCUUUUAAAAUGCCUCAUUUAAUUAUUUUAUUUUAUUUUUCUCUUAAAGGUGCGGUGUGUCCCACUGUAACCCUACCUUUAAAAUGCCUCAUUCAUUAUUUAUUUUUCUCUUAAAGGAGCGGUGUGUAGCCCUGCCUUUAACCCUCUAGGCAGGGUUAACCCUGCCACUGUAACCCUGCCUUUAAAAUGCCUCAUUCAUUCAUUAUUUUUCUCUUAAAGGAGUGGUGUGUAGCCCUGCCUUUAACCCUCUAGGCAGGGUUAACCCUGCCACUGUAACCCUGCCUUUAAAAUGCCUCAUUCAUUCAUUAUUUUUCU
This is a long non-coding RNA of Oncorhynchus keta (chum salmon), 2133 nucleotides long. RefSeq lists it as uncharacterized. The transcript has 3 exons. Lineage: Eukaryota; Metazoa; Chordata; Actinopteri; Salmoniformes; Salmonidae. The record is from RefSeq and is a predicted model, not a curated record.